RNA transcript from Oncorhynchus gorbuscha (pink salmon), 1150 nucleotides. It is a transcript of the gene named rRNA-processing protein UTP23 homolog, with no coding region annotated. The transcript is spliced from 3 exons. Lineage: Eukaryota; Metazoa; Chordata; Actinopteri; Salmoniformes; Salmonidae. The record is from RefSeq and is a predicted model, not a curated record.
AUAUGCAAUUGCGUUAAUUUGAGUGUGAUUUUUCAGCAAGUAACGUUAAUCCUAGCAAGCUACGUUAGUUACAAUGAAGAUCAAACGACAAAAAAAAACACUAAUUUAUACAAACACAACUUCAGUUUUAGAGAGCCCUUUCAAAUUCUGAUCGACGGGACGUUUUGCCAGGCGGUACUGAAGAAAUAAGAUCCAAAUCAAAGAACAGAUGCCGAAAUACCUAAUGGGAGAGGUGCAACUUUGUACUACAAAUUGUGCUCUGAAGGAACUUGAAUCAACGAAGGACCUCUAUGGUGCCAAACUCAUCCUGCAGCGGUAUCAGGUUAGGAACUGCGAGCAUUUCAAGAACCCCGUCUCUGUGUCUGCUGUCAAUGCUGGAAGGGACUAUUCCUCACCACUACUUUGUUGUCAGACAGGACCAAGAGGUGACAUCAGGCCUGAAGAUCCCAGGCGUGCCACUCCUGUAUAUCAUCCUCAACACCAUAGUGUUGGACAAGCCCAGCCUAUGCUCUGUGAACCAUGUGCAGGCUGUGGCUCUGAGAGAGAUGGUCACCCCAGCAGCAGAGCAUCAACAACCUGAAGGAGUUGCAGGGGAUUGGGCAGGAUGGAGAGCACCAGGGCAAGAAGCGUAAGAGGAAAAUCUCCAACCCCAACCUGCUCAGCUGCCUGAAGAAGAAAAAGACACAGACACAGCUGCUUAAGACUGAGGGUAAAAAUAAGUCUGCAAAGGAAAGUCGCAAGUGAGAGGGAGGGGAGGGUCCAUCCCUAAAACCAACCCCAAACCCCUAGUGGUAGGAAGAGAUGUAUGUUUUGAGGGCAGGAUAUAAAUGUUUUUCCCUCCCCAAAAGUUGAACUGAAUAUAAGAAAUAAAUAUUAAUAUAUAUAUACAUAAUCUCUACUAAACCAAUUUGCUCCUCUAUUUGCCAGUUUAAAGGUAUCCCAAUUCAAUGUCUGGAGAACAUAUUUUGCAGAAGCACACAGCCAUGUCAGCAUGCUUCUAAAAAAUGUAUCCUUAAACAGUUCAAUCUUGUUUGAACAUCAGAAGGUAUUGAUCAAAGUCAUUAUAGUAAGUCCAUAGCAAUUAUAUCCAAUUCACUGGCUCAAUGAACCAGCUAUGAAAAGGAUUCAUUGACAUGAACUGUUGAAACCG